This is a long non-coding RNA of Ceratitis capitata (Mediterranean fruit fly), 840 nucleotides long. RefSeq lists it as uncharacterized. The transcript is spliced from 6 exons. The record is from RefSeq and is a predicted model, not a curated record. Lineage: Eukaryota; Metazoa; Arthropoda; Insecta; Diptera; Tephritidae.
UUUAGUGUGCUAGAAGGAGAUGGAGUAUACGCAUUCAUAAAUUCAAAUAUGACUUUAGAAAAUUUUACGCCAUUAAAUUUUCCAAUUUUCAGACGCUAAGAGAUCGAUUGAAUACAAUCCGGCUCAGUAGUAAAUUUAAAGCACUAAAAAAUGAAGAAAUAAUAAGGUUCGUUUGAAUGUAUUGCGGACCAGCUGCAGAUUCCAAUUGUAAGAAAAACUGGGAAAAAAAAGACUCGAUAUGGCCACUACAUCACCGCAUCUUGACUGGCUAACCAUUUGUAAAAAGAAUUAAUUUUGGAAGUAUCGUUAUCUAAAGCGGCCCUUUAGCAGAUAACCAACGGGAGUGCUAUAGAAAACGAAAUCUUCAACUUGAGGUUAAAUGUUUUGUCAUCGUUGUCUUUGUCUACCACGUCCCCGCAUCAUAACUGUUUGGUCAUUCUCAAAAACAAUUCGUUUCUGUUGAAGAACUCCUUCAGUACGUCAAUUGGACCAACGUGAGCUCUUUCCACUACAGUGGUUUGAUCGCCAGUUGCCGUCAAUGACUUCAAUGAAAAUGUUAAGAAAAUAAGAUCAAAAACUUUUCGUGGCAAUUAUUAGCCGUGCGUCUCUUAUUUUUUAAAAUUUUCCCAAAAAACAAAAAAAAGGAAAACACAUAAUAAAUUUUCCAGCAAGCUAUGGCAUUCUUGGCGGCAGAUAAACAAGAGCUGGUAAUGUCGUUGAUCUUCUAUAAUUUUAUGAAUGCAGCAUGAAAUUCAACUGUGCAGAAGACUCGAAGAGUAUUUUCGUUGUAUGCACUUAACACCUUAGGAGGUACCAGAUUAUUUAUUUGCGGUUUCGAAA